Molecule: long non-coding RNA, 2786 nt
Organism: Mesocricetus auratus (golden hamster)
Lineage: Eukaryota; Metazoa; Chordata; Mammalia; Rodentia; Cricetidae
Exons: 2
Source: RefSeq, a predicted model, not a curated record
AGGCAGAGAGACAGAGACACAGAGAGAGGAACAGAACAAGAGAGGGAGAGAAAGGGGGAAAUGCAAGGCGAGCAGGGCCCUUGUAGUAGAGAUCACAGUGAAUGUGCACAGGUGGUGCUCUCAGUGGCUGCAGCUGAGGGCGUAUCCCGUCAGAACCCCGAAGGCAGGCCGGUACAGACGCCUGAAAGCUAACACGAGGGACGUUGGGGAAGAGGGAACCUCAACUGAGAAUAUUACUCACUCACCCUGAUUGGAGGGGGAGGACCCAGCUCCCUGUGGGAGGUGCCACUCCUGGGCAGGUGGUCCUGAGUAAUAUUUGAAAGAGAGCUGAGGACGCCACGUGGGGAGCGAGCCAGUAGACAGUGUUCCCUUCACGGCCUUUGCUUUGGGCACUGUCUUCAGAGUGCCGCUAGAGUUUCUGCACUGACUCGUCACUCAGCGUGGUGAGAAAUGUAAGAAAAUGAACCCUCCCCGCAAGUUGCUUUCGGACGACGCAGCGUUUCACCACGGCCACAGAGAGCAAACUGGGGCAAUGAUCUUCUCAGUCACUUGUCACCAGGGUCAGAGGAUGGAGGGGCGUCUGAACCCGGUGAGACUGUAUCCUCCAUGUGCGCCAGAUGCCAAGCUGCGUGCAGUUCUUCAGCAAGGAUUUGGAAGGCAGAUGUGGGAAUCAGGUAGUGGCAUUUCAUGCCCUCUAUCCUACCCCUAAGUGCAUCUGUGGGAACAGGCUCUCCUCACUAGACUGUGGGCUUCUGUUCCCACCGGUUCCUUGCUGCAAUGGAAAUGCUGAGAUCUUAGGAACCACAGAUCACAGAGCCUAGGUCCCUGGGCUCAUGCAUAUCUACCAGGACAGCUGCCUGCCUGCCUGCCUGGAACACCGAUACAGAGAUGUUCACGCCGCCGGUCACCCCAGUUCGGUCAAUCUGGAAGCCAUACAGAUCUCAAAUACACUGUAUGAAACACCACUGUACCAUCGUCUUUGUCCUCAUUUUCCUUGGAACUAGAGGAGAACCUCAUCCUGAGCCCAUGACUUCUUCAGAGAAGCAGUGACUAUUUGAAAAGGGAGCAGUUACUUUCUAUAAGGAGGGGCUUAAAGCGUUGGCAUUCUACCGUAAGAUCAAGAGUCCUUUGACAGGGCAUGGCACCCCAGCAACUCCCUGCUCUGUAGAAUGGUCGCCCUUAAUACAGGAGGACAGCUUGGCACAGCCUUACUGCUGUCUCCUGCCUGGUGCACUGGAAAUGGCUUCCUGACAAGGAAGAUGUCUGUUUCUGAGGCUCAGCCUUGUCCGCUUCCCAGAGUCUCCACCCCUUCUUUAUUCAAAGAAACACACACUUUAUAAAAGGAAAGGGUUGUAAUAUCUCUCGUUCAGGCAAGUGUCUUUUACUGUAACCGGUACCUACCAAUUGAAUUGGUUUAUGUUUUUUAAAAAAUUCUGCGUAAGAUAGUGUAUGUGAUUAGUAGUUUUCUCCUCCUUGUGAUCAAAUACUUGGCAAACCAUGUGGGGAGGUGGGUUUGCCACGGGGGAUGCAGUCGUGUAUAGCGGGGAAGGCUUCCUCCCAGCUGUGGUCCAGAGGACAGGCGGAUUGGUGUCUUCCUAUAACAGGUCUGUGCUUCAUUCUGGGAAGGGCAGGCUGCUCACUCACAAUAGGCUUUCUUGUUGGUACCAUUCUUCCUAUCAUAUCAUACGUUUGGUUUUUGUUGUGGGUGAGAGCCAACAGAGACCACAGAGACUGAGGAAUCCAUCACCUUUGUAGCCCUUUCUAGUUUGCAAGCCAUCACUCUGUUGUUUCUCCUGCUUGAUCCUCGUUCUAAUGGCUCUGAUCGAACGCUCUGACCAAAAGUCACUUGAGUGUUUCCAUUCCUUUGCCAAUGAUGUGAUGAAACACUAUGACCAAAGACAGUUGUUUGGCUUGAAUUAUGGUUUCAGAGAACUAGAAUUCAUGAUGGUGGAGCGAAGGUACAUCUGAGAGCUCACAUCUUGUCCAUGACUACAAGGCAAGGAGAGCUAGCCAGCAAUCCCGUUAAAUCUUUAACAUUUCCAAUCCUGCCCCCAGUGACACACCUCCCCCAACAAGGCCCACCUGCUAAUUCUUCCCAAACAGUUCCACUAUCUGGGGACCAAGGACUCAAACGUAUCAUUGCAUGAAGGGCUAUUCUCAUUCCAACCCCUGUAAGGAAUGAAGGGUUUGUUUGGUCUACAUUUCCAGCUCACAAAGUCAGGGCAGAAGAUGAAGCAGAAACCAUGGAGGAGGAAGGCUGCUUCCUGGCUUGUCGUCUGCUGACCCUGCUGUCUUAUAGACCCCAGGUCCACUUGCCUAGAGAAGACACCUCCCACUGUCCACUGAGCCCUCCUGCAUCAACCAUCAAUUAAGACAGCCUCUCACAGACAUGGCCACCGGCCCAUCUGAUCUUGGCAAUUCCUCAGUUGGUUUUCUCAGAUGACUCUGGGCUGUGUCAAGUUGAAAGCUGAAGUAAACCAGGGCAACCUCUCAAAUAACACGGAAAUGAGGAGAGUGUAUUUUUUCCUAAUCUCAUAGGCAGAAACCAAAGUUCAGAGGUAGAAUAGCCCGGAAACCUCACGCUAGACAGUGUGCCCUGGACUCUCCGGCACCCUGGACUCUCUGGAGAGGUGAAAAGAGGCAGGAUGCUGAAAUUGUUUUCAGAAACGGUUCUAGCCAUGUGGGAGAUGGAUAUUGCACAGAUAAGAAUGAAGCAUGUUGGGACAUUGCUGUCUGAUGGAGACCAAUGGCUAUCUGGCUUUCAUUAAAUUAUAUUCUCACUGGCA